RNAcentral lists this ribosomal RNA (253 nucleotides) under uncultured bacterium. Its description in RNAcentral is "partial 16S ribosomal RNA". It matches the Rfam family "Bacterial small subunit ribosomal RNA", at positions 524 to 776 of the family's 1533-position model. The record is from RNAcentral.
UACGUAGGGAGCAAGCGUUGUUCGGAUUUACUGGGCGUAAAGGGCGCGUAGGCGGCGCGGUAAGUCACUUGUGAAAUCUCUGAGCUUAACUCAGAACGGCCAAGUGAUACUGCAGUGCUAGAGUGCAGAAAGGGCAAUCGGAAUUCUUGGUGUAGCGGUGAAAUGCGUAGAUAUCGGAAGGAACAUCAGUGGCGAAAGCGGCUUCCUGGACCAGCACCGACGUUCAGGCACGAAAGCGUGGGGAGCAAACAGG